UUUGACCUCAAAUCAGGUAGGACUACCCGCUGAACUUAAGCAUAUCAUAA
Molecule: ribosomal RNA, 50 nt
Filed under: Psilocybe samuiensis
Lineage: Eukaryota; Fungi; Basidiomycota; Agaricomycetes; Agaricales; Agrocybaceae
Description: partial 28S ribosomal RNA
Source: RNAcentral